UCAUGUCCCGGGGACGGUGAGAUUCCGUACCGGCGGUCACAGCCCGCGACCCGGUGGCUGAAUUCGUUCAGUCGCCGGCUGAUCUGGUGGAACUCCAGAGCCGACAGUCAAAGUCUGGAUGGGAGGGAGCAUGG
RNAcentral lists this non-coding RNA (134 nucleotides) under Actinomyces denticolens. RNAcentral's name for it is "FMN sequence". It matches the Rfam family "FMN riboswitch aptamer (RFN element)". From Rfam's summary of the family: The RFN element is a highly conserved domain that is found frequently in the 5'-untranslated regions of prokaryotic mRNAs that encode for flavin mononucleotide (FMN) biosynthesis and transport proteins. This element is a metabolite-dependent riboswitch that directly binds FMN in the absence of proteins. In Bacillus subtilis, the riboswitch most likely controls gene expression by causing premature transcription termination within the 5' untranslated region of the ribDEAHT operon and precluding access to the ribosome-binding site of ypaA mRNA. The record is from RNAcentral. Lineage: Bacteria; Bacillati; Actinomycetota; Actinomycetes; Actinomycetales; Actinomycetaceae.